UGACCGCUGGCGGCGUGCCUAAUACAUGCAAAUCGAGCGAACGGACGAGAAGCUUGCUUCUCUGAUGUUAGCGGCGGACGGGUGAGUAACACGUGGAUAACCUACCUAUAAGACUGGGAUAACUUCGGGAAACCGGAGCUAAUACCGGAUGAUAUUUUGAACCGCAUGGUUCAAAAGUGAAAGACGGUCUUGCUGUCACUUAUAGAUGGAUCCGCGCUGCAUUAGCUAGUUGGUAAGGUAACGGCUUACCAAGGCAACGAUGCAUAGCCGACCUGAGAGGGUGAUCGGCCACACUGGAACUGAGACACGGUCCAGACUCCUACGGGAGGCAGCAGUAGGGAAUCUUCCGCAAUGGGCGAAAGCCUGACGGAGCAACGCCGCGUGAGUGAUGAAGGUCUUCGGAUCGUAAAACUCUGUUAUUAGGGAAGAACAUAUGUGUAAGUAACUGUGCACAUCUUGACGGUACCUAAUCAGAAAGCCACGGCUAACUACGUG
This 495-nucleotide ribosomal RNA is filed under the name uncultured bacterium. RNAcentral describes it as "partial 16S ribosomal RNA". It matches the Rfam family "Bacterial small subunit ribosomal RNA", at positions 30 to 507 of the family's 1533-position model. The record is from RNAcentral.